Molecule: unclassified non-coding RNA, 332 nt
Filed under: soil metagenome
Description: partial contains 5.8S ribosomal RNA, internal transcribed spacer 2, and large subunit ribosomal RNA
Rfam family: 5.8S ribosomal RNA (bases 1-120)
Source: RNAcentral
GAUGAAGAACGUAGCGAAAUGCGAUAAGUAAUGUGAAUUGCAGAAUUCAGUGAAUCAUCGAAUCUUUGAACGCACAUUGCGCCCGCCAGUAUUCUGGCGGGCAUGCCUGUUCGAGCGUCAUUUCAACCCUCAAGCACAGCUUGGUGUUGGGACUCGCGUUAAUUCGCGUUCCUCAAAUUGAUUGGCGGUCACGUCGAGCUUCCAUAGCGUAGUAGUAAAACCCUCGUUACUGGUAAACGUCGCGGCCACGCCGUUAAACCCCAACUUCUGAAUGUUGACCUCGGAUCAGGUAGGAAUACCCGCUGAACUUAAGCAUAUCAAUAAGCGGAGGA